UGGCUCAGGACGAACGCUGGCGGCGUGCUUAACACAUGCAAGUCGAGCGAUGAAGCUUCUUCGGAAGUGGAUUAGCGGCGGACGGGUGAGUAACACGUGGGUAACCUGCCUCAUAGAGGGGAAUAGCCUUCCGAAAGGAAGAUUAAUACCGCAUAAGAUUGUAAUAUCGCAUGAUAUAGCAAUUAAAGGAGUAAUCCGCUAUGAGAUGGACCCGCGUCGCAUUAGCUAGUUGGUGAGGUAACGGCUCACCAAGGCGACGAUGCGUAGCCGACCUGAGAGGGUGAUCGGCCACAUUGGGACUGAGACACGGCCCAGACUCCUACGGGAGGCAGCAGUGGGGAAUAUUGCACAAUGGGGGAAACCCUGAUGCAAGCAACGCCGCGUGAGUGAUGACGGUCUUCGGAUUGUAAAGCUCUGUCUUCAGGGACGAUAAUGACGGUACCUGAGGAGGAAGCCACGGCUAACUACGUGCCAGCCGCGGC
This 482-nucleotide ribosomal RNA is filed under the name uncultured bacterium. RNAcentral's name for it is "bacterial SSU rRNA". It matches the Rfam family "Bacterial small subunit ribosomal RNA", at positions 20 to 518 of the family's 1533-position model. The record is from RNAcentral.